Molecule: ribosomal RNA, 722 nt
Filed under: uncultured bacterium
Lineage: Bacteria
Description: bacterial SSU rRNA
Rfam family: Bacterial small subunit ribosomal RNA
Source: RNAcentral
GGUGCGGAACGCGUAUGGAACCUACCUUUAUCAGGGGGAUAGCCCAUGGAAACGUGGAUUAAUACCCCAUAGUAUUACAUCAUUGCAUGAUGAUUUAAUUAAAGAAUUUCGGAUAGAGAUGGCCAUGCGUAUCAUUAGCUAGUAGGCGAGGUAACGGCUCACCUAGGCGACGAUGAUUAGGGGUCCUGAGAGGGAGAUCCCCCACACUGGUACUGAGACACGGACCAGACUCCUACGGGAGGCAGCAGUGAGGAAUAUUGGGCAAUGGAGGCAACUCUGACCCAGCCAUGCCGCGUGCAGGAAGACGGCCCUAUGGGUUGUAAACUGCUUUUAUACAGGAAGAACACCACCCACGUGUGGGUGACUGACGGUACUGUAAGAAUAAGGACCGGCUAACUCCGUGCCAGCAGCCGCGGUAAUACGGAGGGUCCAAGCGUUAUCCGGAAUCAUUGGGUUCAAAGGGUCCGUAGGCGGGCUAAUAAGUCAGAGGUGAAAGUUUGCAGCUCAACUGUAAAAUUGCCUUUGAUACUGUUAGUCUUGAGUUAUAGUGAAGUGGUUAGAAUAAGUGGUGUAGCGGUGAAAUGCAUAGAUAUCACUUAGAAUACCGAUUGCGAAGGCAGAUCACUAACUGUAUACUGACGCUGAGGGACGAAAGCAUGGGUAGCGAACGGGAUUAGAUACCCCGGUAGUCCAUGCUGUAAACGAUGGAUACUAGCUGUUGG